This 91-nucleotide transfer RNA is filed under the name Oscillibacter hominis. RNAcentral's name for it is "Oscillibacter sp. NSJ-62 tRNA-Ser". It matches the Rfam family "tRNA". Rfam says of the family: Transfer RNA (tRNA) molecules are approximately 80 nucleotides in length. Their secondary structure includes four short double-helical elements and three loops (D, anti-codon, and T loops). Further hydrogen bonds mediate the characteristic L-shaped molecular structure. tRNAs have two regions of fundamental functional importance: the anti-codon, which is responsible for specific mRNA codon recognition, and the 3' end, to which the tRNAs corresponding amino acid is attached (by aminoacyl-tRNA synthetases). tRNAs cope with the degeneracy of the genetic code in two manners: having more than one tRNA (with a specific anti-codon) for a particular amino acid; and 'wobble' base-pairing, i.e. permitting non-standard base-pairing at the 3rd anti-codon position. RNAcentral also lists the same sequence under 1 other name. The record is from RNAcentral. Lineage: Bacteria; Bacillati; Bacillota; Clostridia; Eubacteriales; Oscillospiraceae.
GGAGAAGUACCCAAGAGGCCGAAGGGGCUCCCCUGCUAAGGGAGUAGGCCGGGAAACUGGCGCGAGGGUUCAAAUCCCUCCUUCUCCGCCA